AUUGAACGCUGGCGGCAGGCUUAACACAUGCAAGUCGAGCGGAGUGAUGGUGCUUGCACUAUCACUUAGCGGCGGACGGGUGAGUAAUGCUUAGGAAUCUGCCUAUUAGUGGGGGACAACAUCUCGAAAGGGAUGCUAAUACCGCAUACGUCCUACGGGAGAAAGCAGGGGAUCACUUGUGACCUUGCGCUAAUAGAUGAGCCUAAGUCGGAUUGGCUAGUUGGUGGGGUAAAGGCCUACCAAGGCGACGAUCUGUAGCGGGUCUGAGAGGAUGCUCCGCCACACUGGGACUGAGACACGGCCCAGACUCCUACGGGAGGCAGCAGUGGGGAAUAUUGGACAAUGGGGGGAACCCUGAUCCAGCCAUGCCGCGUGUGUGAAGAAGGCCUUAUGGUUGUAAAGCACGUUAAGCGAGGAGGAGGCUCUUUUGGUUAAUACCCAAGAUGAGUGGACGUUACUCGCAGAAUAAGCACCGGCUAACUCUGUGCCAGCAGCCGCAGUAA
RNAcentral lists this ribosomal RNA (503 nucleotides) under uncultured bacterium. Its description in RNAcentral is "partial 16S ribosomal RNA". It matches the Rfam family "Bacterial small subunit ribosomal RNA", at positions 30 to 523 of the family's 1533-position model. The record is from RNAcentral.